This 501-nucleotide ribosomal RNA is filed under the name uncultured bacterium. Its description in RNAcentral is "partial 16S ribosomal RNA". It matches the Rfam family "Bacterial small subunit ribosomal RNA", at positions 30 to 523 of the family's 1533-position model. The record is from RNAcentral.
AUUGAACGCUGGCGGCAUGCCUUACACAUGCAAGUCGAACGGCAGCACGGGUGCUUGCACCUGGUGGCGAGUGGCGAACGGGUGAGUAAUAUAUCGGAACGUACCUUAUUGUGGGGGAUAACGCAGCGAAAGCUGUGCUAAUACCGCAUAAUCCCUAAGGGGGAAAGCGGGGGACCGUAAGGCCUCGCGCAAUUAGAGCGGCCGAUACCUGAUUAGCUAGUUGGUGAGGUAAAGGCUCACCAAGGCAACGAUCAGUAGCUGGUCUGAGAGGACGAUCAGCCACGCUGGGACUGAGACACGGCCCAGACUCCUACGGGAGGCAGCAGAGGGGAAUUUUGGACAAUGGGGGCAACCCUGAUCCAGCAAUGCCGCGUGAGUGAAGAAGGCCUUCGGGUUGUAAAGCUCUUUUGUCAGGGAAGAAACAGCAGCUCUAACACAGUAUGCGAAUGACGGUACCUGAAGAAUAAGCACCGGCUAACUACGUGCCAGCCGCCGCCGUAA